AUGCUUAGUACGGCGAGUGAGCGGCAAAAGCUCAAAUUUGAAAUCUGGUACCUUCGGUGCCCGAGUUGUAAUUUGGAGAGGGCAACUUUGGGGCCGUUCCUUGUCUAUGUUCCUUGGAACAGGACGUCAUAGAGGGUGAGAAUCCCGUGUGGCGAGGAGUGCGGUUCUUUGUAAAGUGCCUUCGAAGAGUCGAGUUGUUUGGGAAUGCAGCUCUAAGUGGGUGGUAAAUUCCAUCUAAAGCUAAAUAUUGGCGAGAGACCGAUAGCGAACAAGUACAGUGAUGGAAAGAUGAAAAGAACUUUGAAAAGAGAGUGAAAAAGUACGUGAAAUUGUUGAAAGGGAAGGGCAUUUGAUCAGACAUGGUGUUUUGUGCCCUCUGCUCCUUGUGGGUAGGGGAAUCUCGCAUUUCACUGGGCCAGCAUCAGUUUUGGUGGCAGGAUAAAUCCAUAGGAAUGUAGCUUGCCUCGGUAAGUAUUAUAGCCUGUGGGAAUACUGCCAGCUGGGACUGAGGACUGCGACGUAAGUCAAGGAUGCUGGCAUAAUGGUUAUAUGCCGCCCGU
This 560-nucleotide ribosomal RNA is filed under the name Saccharomyces cerevisiae (brewer's yeast). RNAcentral describes it as "partial large subunit ribosomal RNA". It matches the Rfam family "Eukaryotic large subunit ribosomal RNA", at positions 73 to 652 of the family's 3401-position model. Lineage: Eukaryota; Fungi; Ascomycota; Saccharomycetes; Saccharomycetales; Saccharomycetaceae. The record is from RNAcentral.